GCCGGGCACAGUGGCUUGUGCUUGUAAUCCCAGCUCUUUGGGAGGCUGAUGCAGGAGGAUUGCUUGAGCCCAGGAGUUCAAGACCAGCCAGGGCAACAUAGUGAGACCCUGCCUCUU
This is an unclassified non-coding RNA of Papio anubis (olive baboon), 117 nucleotides long. It matches the Rfam family "Metazoan signal recognition particle RNA". From Rfam's summary of the family: The signal recognition particle (SRP) is a universally conserved ribonucleoprotein. Lineage: Eukaryota; Metazoa; Chordata; Mammalia; Primates; Cercopithecidae. The record is from Ensembl.